GUUAAGCGACUAAGCGUACACGGUGGAUGCCCUGGCAGUCAGAGGCGAUGAAGGACGUGCUAAUCUGCGAUAAGCGUCGGUAAGGUGAUAUGAACCGUUAUAACCGGCGAUUUCCGAAUGGGGAAACCCAGUGUGUUUCGACACACUAUCAUUAACUGAAUCCAUAGGUUAAUGAGGCGAACCGGGGGAACUGAAACAUCUAAGUACCCCGAGGAAAAGAAAUCAACCGAGAUUCCCCCAGUAGCGGCGAGCGAACGGGGAGGAGCCCAGAGCCUGAAUCAGUGUGUGUGUUAGUGGAAGCGUCUGGAAAGGCGCGCGAUACAGGGUGACAGCCCCGUACACAAAAAUGCACAUGCUGUGAGCUCGAUGAGUAGGGCGGGACACGUGGUAUCCUGUCUGAAUAUGGGGGGACCAUCCUCCAAGGCUAAAUACUCCUGACUGACCGAUAGUGAACCAGUACCGUGAGGGAAAGGCGAAAAGAACCCCGGCGAGGGGAGUGAAAAAGAACCUGAAACCGUGUACGUACAAGCAGUGGGAGCACGCUUAGGCGUGUGACUGCGUACCUUUUGUAUAAUGGGUCAGCGACUUAUAUUCUGUAGCAAGGUUAACCGAAUAGGGGAGCCGAAGGGAAACCGAGUCUUAACUGGGCGUUAAGUUGCAGGGUAUAGACCCGAAACCCGGUGAUCUAGCCAUGGGCAGGUUGAAGGUUGGGUAACACUAACUGGAGGACCGAACCGACUAAUGUUGAAAAAUUAGCGGAUGACUUGUGGCUGGGGGUGAAAGGCCAAUCAAACCGGGAGAUAGCUGGUUCUCCCCGAAAGCUAUUUAGGUAGCGCCUCGUGAAUUCAUCUCCGGGGGUAGAGCACUGUUUCGGCAAGGGGGUCAUCCCGACUUACCAACCCGAUGCAAACUGCGAAUACCGGAGAAUGUUAUCACGGGAGACACACGGCGGGUGCUAACGUCCGUCGUGAAGAGGGAAACAACCCAGACCGCCAGCUAAGGUCCCAAAGUCAUGGUUAAGUGGGAAACGAUGUGGGAAGGCCCAGACAGCCAGGAUGUUGGCUUAGAAGCAGCCAUCAUUUAAAGAAAGCGUAAUAGCUCACUGGUCGAGUCGGCCUGCGCGGAAGAUGUAACGGGGCUAAACCAUGCACCGAAGCUGCGGCAGCGACGCUUAUGCGUUGUUGGGUAGGGGAGCGUUCUGUAAGCCUGUGAAGGUGUGCUGUGAGGCAUGCUGGAGGUAUCAGAAGUGCGAAUGCUGACAUAAGUAACGAUAAAGCGGGUGAAAAGCCCGCUCGCCGGAAGACCAAGGGUUCCUGUCCAACGUUAAUCGGGGCAGGGUGAGUCGACCCCUAAGGCGAGGCCGAAAGGCGUAGUCGAUGGGAAACAGGUUAAUAUUCCUGUACUUGGUGUUACUGCGAAGGGGGGACGGAGAAGGCUAUGUUGGCCGGGCGACGGUUGUCCCGGUUUAAGCGUGUAGGCUGGUUUUCCAGGCAAAUCCGGAAAAUCAAGGCUGAGGCGUGAUGACGAGGCACUACGGUGCUGAAGCAACAAAUGCCCUGCUUCCAGGAAAAGCCUCUAAGCAUCAGGUAACAUCAAAUCGUACCCCAAACCGACACAGGUGGUCAGGUAGAGAAUACCAAGGCGCUUGAGAGAACUCGGGUGAAGGAACUAGGCAAAAUGGUGCCGUAACUUCGGGAGAAGGCACGCUGAUAUGUAGGUGAAGCGACUUGCUCGUGGAGCUGAAAUCAGUCGAAGAUACCAGCUGGCUGCAACUGUUUAUUAAAAACACAGCACUGUGCAAACACGAAAGUGGACGUAUACGGUGUGACGCCUGCCCGGUGCCGGAAGGUUAAUUGAUGGGGUCAGCGCAAGCGAAGCUCUUGAUCGAAGCCCCGGUAAACGGCGGCCGUAACUAUAACGGUCCUAAGGUAGCGAAAUUCCUUGUCGGGUAAGUUCCGACCUGCACGAAUGGCGUAAUGAUGGCCAGGCUGUCUCCACCCGAGACUCAGUGAAAUUGAACUCGCUGUGAAGAUGCAGUGUACCCGCGGCAAGACGGAAAGACCCCGUGAACCUUUACUAUAGCUUGACACUGAACAUUGAGCCUUGAUGUGUAGGAUAGGUGGGAGGCUUUGAAGUGUGGACGCCAGUCUGCAUGGAGCCGACCUUGAAAUACCACCCUUUAAUGUUUGAUGUUCUAACGUUGACCCGUAAUCCGGGUUGCGGACAGUGUCUGGUGGGUAGUUUGACUGGGGCGGUCUCCUCCUAAAGAGUAACGGAGGAGCACGAAGGUUGGCUAAUCCUGGUCGGACAUCAGGAGGUUAGUGCAAUGGCAUAAGCCAGCUUGACUGCGAGCGUGACGGCGCGAGCAGGUGCGAAAGCAGGUCAUAGUGAUCCGGUGGUUCUGAAUGGAAGGGCCAUCGCUCAACGGAUAAAAGGUACUCCGGGGAUAACAGGCUGAUACCGCCCAAGAGUUCAUAUCGACGGCGGUGUUUGGCACCUCGAUGUCGGCUCAUCACAUCCUGGGGCUGAAGUAGGUCCCAAGGGUAUGGCUGUUCGCCAUUUAAAGUGGUACGCGAGCUGGGUUUAGAACGUCGUGAGACAGUUCGGUCCCUAUCUGCCGUGGGCGCUGGAGAACUGAGGGGGGCUGCUCCUAGUACGAGAGGACCGGAGUGGACGCAUCACUGGUGUUCGGGUUGUCAUGCCAAUGGCACUGCCCGGUAGCUAAAUGCGGAAGAGAUAAGUGCUGAAAGCAUCUAAGCACGAAACUUGCC
RNAcentral lists this ribosomal RNA (2771 nucleotides) under Escherichia coli. Its description in RNAcentral is "partial 23S ribosomal RNA". It matches the Rfam family "Bacterial large subunit ribosomal RNA". Lineage: Bacteria; Pseudomonadati; Pseudomonadota; Gammaproteobacteria; Enterobacterales; Enterobacteriaceae. The record is from RNAcentral.